AUUGAACGCUGGCGGCAUGCUUUACACAUGCAAGUCGAACGGCAGCGCGGGCUUCGGCCUGGCGGCGAGUGGUGAAGGGGGGAGUAAUGCAUCGGAACGUGGCCAGUAGUGGGGGAUAGCGCGGCGAAAGCCGGAUUAAUACUGCAUACGACCUGAGGGGGAAAACGGGGGAUCGCAAGGCCUCUCCCUAUUGGAGCGGCCGAUGUCGGUAUAGCUAGUUGGGGGGGGAAAGGCUUACCAAGGCGGCGAUCCGAAGCUGGUCUGAGAGGACGACCAGCCAGACUGUGAGUGAGAAACGGCCCAGACUCCGGCAGGAGGAAGCAGUGGGGAAUUUUGGACAAUGGGGGCAACCCUGAUCCAGGCAUGCCGCGUGCGGGAAGAAGGACUUCUGGUUGUAAACCGCUGUAGUUCGGGAAGUAGUACUCUGGUCUAAUACCCCGGGGGGAUGACGGUACCGGAAGAAUAAGCACCGGCUAACUACGUG
This 484-nucleotide ribosomal RNA is filed under the name uncultured bacterium. RNAcentral's name for it is "partial 16S ribosomal RNA". It matches the Rfam family "Bacterial small subunit ribosomal RNA", at positions 29 to 507 of the family's 1533-position model. The record is from RNAcentral.